AAGGUAUUUGGCUCUCUUGCCCUUCUGCCUUCUGCCAUGUGAGGACACAGUAUUCCUCCCCACCAUGAGGGGAGCCAUCUUGGAAGCAGAGAGUGGCCUUCACAAGCAACCUCUCUGAUCUUGGACUUGCCAGCCUCCAGAACUGUUUUCUAAUGCUACGUGCAUGUGUGCGCAUAUAGCACAGCCUGUAGUGAAAAGACUGGGCAAGAAGAGGAGAUACAGCCACAGCAAUGACAGCAAAGGAGCUGAACUUCUGCUUGUCUCAGCCUUGACACACUUUUCACUUCCCACUUACUUCCCUCUCAAUACAGCCUGAUUUUUCACUGUGAAAUCUGAUAUAAAAGGAAAUGCACCUGAGGAAAUGGGUGUAUAUACACUGAAUGACAUCUCCAUGCCUUUUUAAAUUUUCCCAUUCCUUUCCACAUCCACUGCUGUAAUGCAAGGAUCUAUCAUCUGAUGAGAAUAAUGGUGGUGGAUGUGGUGGUGUAGGCAUUCACUCACUGAGGGGAAAUUUACAAAGGACCAUUUGUGGGGUUAGGGGCCAGGAGAUGUGAGGCCCCUCAGACUACUGAUGUUGGAGGUGAUCAUUGAUCUGGAAGGGAGUAAGAAUGAGGGAAUGUCAUAGUAACAACACCCAAAGAUGACAUUGAUGACUGCCCUAAAUACACAAAAACACUGGGCAUCUAUUAAGCUCUUUUUCAGAAACACUGUACACUCUGAUAGUCAUGGUGCUAUAGAUGCAAGAACAUUCACAGUUCAAAGGAGCAUUAUCUUGAUGUCAUGUACUGUGCUCAUAAACUCAGUCCACUGAAUGGAAAGACAUGGAGCCAAAAGUCACUUUCAGCCAAUGGCUUAACAUGCAAUCAAAUGUGAAUUGUAACUUUGGUCUUUGGUGGGUCUACCAUGGGACAACGUGAUUUAAUUCAAUCAAUAUGUUUAAAUAUCUACUAGUUUUUUGUUUUGUUUUGUUAUGUUUUGUUUUUGAGACAGAGUCUCACUCUGUUGCCCAGGCAGGAGUGCAAUGGUGCGAUCUAGGCUCACUGCAACCUCUGCCUCCUGGGUUCAAGCGAUUCUCCCUGCCUCAGCCUCCCAAGUAGCUGGGAUUACAGGUGUCUGCCACCACGCCCAGCUAAUUUUUGUAUUUCUAGUAGAGAACGGGUUUCAUCAUGUUGGCCAGGCUGGUCUCAAACUCCUGACCUCAGGCGAUCUGCCAGCCUCGGCCUCCCAAAGUGCUGAGAUUACAAGUGUGAGCCACCAUUCCUGGUCUAAAUGUCUACUAGUUUGUGAAGCAUUGUAGAAGUGCUUACUAGAGGUACAAAAAUUAGUAAUUCUUGCAUGGUACUACUUGCCAUCAAAAAGUCAACAGAACAUCUGCAAAUGAGACAAAUUAUGUCCAGUGAAUUCUGCCUUGUCAUUCAGAUCUAUAUCAACAAUAAAAGAAAAACAACUUAUGAAAAUUCAAAGAAUAAUUAUUUGGGGAGGAGUCAGGGAGAAAUCAGUAAGCCCGCAAGAGAAGGACACUACAUUUCAGAUGUGUCUUGAUGGAUAUACAGAUUUUCACCAGGCAAUGUGAGGGCAGGAAGUUAAUUCUAAGCAGUGGGUAAAACAGGAGAUAUAGCUGGUUAUGGUCCCAGCUACUCAGGAGGCUGAGGCAGGAGGAUUGCUUGAGGCCAGGAGUUCGAGGCUGCAGUGACCCAUAAUGGCACCACUGCACUCCAGCCUGGGCAACAGAGUGAGACUCUGAUUCAAAAGAAAAGAAAGAAAGAAAAAAGGAGAUAUGUUUGGAGACCAGGGAACAGUUCAGUUUAGCCAGAUCAAGGUGUAGACCCAGCUGCGUCAUGAUUUUCGUAGGAGCCUUGAAAAUCAAGCUAAGGAAUUUGUAUUUUUGAUUCUAUAAGUAAUGGAGGGGGGCAUUAAAAGAUUUUGUGCAGGAGAAUCUAUGACUCAAGUUAGGUUUCAGUAAAUUUAGUUGGUUUUGAGUGGGGAGAAGCAGUUAGUGCAAAUAGGAUGUAACCCUCAUGGCCUAGAAAGGAUGCUGAGAACAUAAUCUUGGUGGUAGAAAUGGAAAUUGAAGGAAGAGACAGAUAUAAAAUACAGAAAGAACCAACAAGUCUUGGUGACUUAUUCAUCAUGAUGAGAAUACCAUAGAGAAGGAGACUCUUGCUUUUUUUUUUUUUUAACAACAUGCCUCAAAAAAUGUUGCCACGAUAAUUGUUUUCAGAAGAUAGAGCAUGUCUUUUUAGACAUACUGACUUUAAGGUGCUGGUAAAACUUUCUUAUGAGUCUGACGAGCAGAAGAGGAAUGGAGCAGACUAUACACUCAAGAGAUAACUCCCCAUCAAAAUAAGAAUCAAAGCCACACUUUGAUUAGGAAGAGAGUAUAGAGGGAGAAGAUAAUUAAAAGACAACCAUGUGAAAGGCUGCACAAAAUGGGCAAAAAGAGGAAAUAAGUGUCAUAAAAGGAGAUCUGGCUGGGCGCGGUAGCUCACGCCUGUAAUCCUAGCACUUUGGGAGGCCGAGGCAGGAGGAUCACUUGAGGUCAGGAGUUCAAAACCAGCCUGACCAACGUGGUGAAACGCCAUCUCUACUAAAAAUACAAAAAGAAAAAAAAAAUUAGUCGGGCAUGGUGGCGGGUGCACCCGUGAUCCUGGCUACUCGGGAGGCUGAGGCAGGAGAAAUGCUUGAACCCAAGAGGCAGAGAUUGCAGCGAGCCAAGGUCACGCCACUGCACUCCACCCUGGGCAACAGAAUGAGACUCCGUCUCAAAAAAAAAAAAAAAAAAAAAAGAGAGAUCUGAGAGAAAUCAGAGAAAGGAGAAUAAUUCAGUGCAAGUGGGAAAGGCUUCAUUCAUUCAAUAUCUGUUGUUGAGCAAAUAUUACAAGUCAGACUUCAUGCUCAAUACUGGGGAUAAAGUGGUGGACAGGACAGAAUACUUCUGCUCUCACAGAGCUCACAGUCUUCCAACACAUGUUGGUAAACAGCAUGAAACAUCCCAGUGAGUUCAGGACGACACGAAUUGAGAAAAGUCCCUCAGGACCUUUAACCAAAUGAAUACUUUUGGAAUGAAAUGGGUGCUUCAAUGCCCAAGGGUAAAUUAAUUUAUAAUAAUGGGUGCAGUUAUAUAAUUUUGAAAGAUUUUUCAGACUUGCAAAGGAUCCUUGAACAAACAAAAUACUCAUCUCCCCACAACCCCCUCCCUGCCUCACACGUUAAUCUACUUGAAAUAGUCGCUAAGAAGAGAGGCUAUUAAGUAAAAAAACACAUUCUGUUAUGUAUUAUUGAAAAGCAAUAUUAUUCACAUGUUCUGGAAAAAGUGAGAACACGAAAAAUAAAUAAAAGGACAAAAAAUAGUAAGAAGGGCUUAAUAAUUUAAGCCCAGAAAUAUAUCUUCAAAACAAUCAACCACUACCUGGCCUACAAUUCUCCAGAAAUCUUGCACACAGAUUUUAUAUUGCAUGGCUCAUUAAUUUCCAAACCAUCCACAGCUUUAUUUUAUGAGAGGGCAUAAGCUUCAGGCCUGGGGAGAGAGGGUGGCUGAAUUUCAACACUUUGUCCUAUCAUUUGUUUAGUACACCUCUUACAUUUAUAUGACAUAAAGAAAAUAAAAUAAUGAUUGUAUGAUGAAAAGCUUUUCAUGGAUUCAGAAUAAAUGG
This 3653-nucleotide long non-coding RNA is filed under the name Homo sapiens (human). Its description in RNAcentral is "HSALNT0069988". The record is from RNAcentral. Lineage: Eukaryota; Metazoa; Chordata; Mammalia; Primates; Hominidae.